GACGUAGGGCGCGAGCGUUGUCCGGAUUUAUUGGGCGUAAAGAGCUCGUAGGCGGUUCGGUAAGUCGGGUGUGAAACCUCCAGGCUCAACCUGGAGAUGCCACCUGAUACUGCUGUGACUCGAGUCCGGUAGGGGAGCGUGGAAUUCCUGGUGUAGCGGUGAAAUGCGCAGAUAUCAGGAGGAACACCAGCGGCGAAGGCGGCGCUCUGGGCCGGAACUGACGCUGAGGAGCGAAAGCGUGGGUAGCAAACAGG
RNAcentral lists this ribosomal RNA (254 nucleotides) under uncultured bacterium. RNAcentral's name for it is "partial 16S ribosomal RNA". It matches the Rfam family "Bacterial small subunit ribosomal RNA", at positions 524 to 776 of the family's 1533-position model. The record is from RNAcentral.